This 2716-nucleotide ribosomal RNA is filed under the name Escherichia coli. RNAcentral describes it as "partial 23S ribosomal RNA". It matches the Rfam family "Bacterial large subunit ribosomal RNA". Lineage: Bacteria; Pseudomonadati; Pseudomonadota; Gammaproteobacteria; Enterobacterales; Enterobacteriaceae. The record is from RNAcentral.
UUCGACACACUAUCAUUAACUGAAUCCAUAGGUUAAUGAGGCGAACCGGGGGAACUGAAACAUCUAAGUACCCCGAGGAAAAGAAAUCAACCGAGAUUCCCCCAGUAGCGGCGAGCGAACGGGGAGGAGCCCAGAGCCUGAAUCAGUGUGUGUGUUAGUGGAAGCGUCUGGAAAGGCGCGCGAUACAGGGUGACAGCCCCGUACACAAAAAUGCACAUACUGUGAGCUCGAUGAGUAGGGCGGGACACGUGGUAUCCUGUCUGAAUAUGGGGGGACCAUCCUCCAAGGCUAAAUACUCCUGACUGACCGAUAGUGAACCAGUACCGUGAGGGAAAGGCGAAAAGAACCCCGGCGAGGGGAGUGAAAAAGAACCUGAAACCGUGUACGUACAAGCAGUGGGAGCCUCUUAAUGGGGUGACUGCGUACCUUUUGUAUAAUGGGUCAGCGACUUAUAUUCUGUAGCAAGGUUAACCGAAUAGGGGAGCCGAAGGGAAACCGAGUCUUAACUGGGCGUUAAGUUGCAGGGUAUAGACCCGAAACCCGGUGAUCUAGCCAUGGGCAGGUUGAAGGUUGGGUAACACUAACUGGAGGACCGAACCGACUAAUGUUGAAAAAUUAGCGGAUGACUUGUGGCUGGGGGUGAAAGGCCAAUCAAACCGGGAGAUAGCUGGUUCUCCCCGAAAGCUAUUUAGGUAGCGCCUCGUGAAUUCAUCUCCGGGGGUAGAGCACUGUUUCGGCAAGGGGGUCAUCCCGACUUACCAACCCGAUGCAAACUGCGAAUACCGGAGAAUGUUAUCACGGGAGACACACGGCGGGUGCUAACGUCCGUCGUGAAGAGGGAAACAACCCAGACCGCCAGCUAAGGUCCCAAAGUCAUGGUUAAGUGGGAAACGAUGUGGGAAGGCCCAGACAGCCAGGAUGUUGGCUUAGAAGCAGCCAUCAUUUAAAGAAAGCGUAAUAGCUCACUGGUCGAGUCGGCCUGCGCGGAAGAUGUAACGGGGCUAAACCAUGCACCGAAGCUGCGGCAGCGACACUAUGUGUUGUUGGGUAGGGGAGCGUUCUGUAAGCCUGUGAAGGUGUACUGUGAGGUAUGCUGGAGGUAUCAGAAGUGCGAAUGCUGACAUAAGUAACGAUAAAGCGGGUGAAAAGCCCGCUCGCCGGAAGACCAAGGGUUCCUGUCCAACGUUAAUCGGGGCAGGGUGAGUCGACCCCUAAGGCGAGGCCGAAAGGCGUAGUCGAUGGGAAACAGGUUAAUAUUCCUGUACUUGGUGUUACUGCGAAGGGGGGACGGAGAAGGCUAUGUUGGCCGGGCGACGGUUGUCCCGGUUUAAGCGUGUAGGCUGGUUUUCCAGGCAAAUCCGGAAAAUCAAGGCUGAGGCGUGAUGACGAGGCACUACGGUGCUGAAGCGACAAAUGCCCUGCUUCCAGGAAAAGCCUCUAAGCAUCAGGUAACAUCAAAUCGUACCCCAAACCGACACAGGUGGUCAGGUAGAGAAUACCAAGGCGCUUGAGAGAACUCGGGUGAAGGAACUAGGCAAAAUGGUGCCGUAACUUCGGGAGAAGGCACGCUGAUAUGUAGGUGAAGCGACUUGCUCGUGGAGCUGAAAUCAGUCGAAGAUACCAGCUGGCUGCAACUGUUUAUUAAAAACACAGCACUGUGCAAACACGAAAGUGGACGUAUACGGUGUGACGCCUGCCCGGUGCCGGAAGGUUAAUUGAUGGGGUUAGCGGUAACGCGAAGCUCUUGAUCGAAGCCCCGGUAAACGGCGGCCGUAACUAUAACGGUCCUAAGGUAGCGAAAUUCCUUGUCGGGUAAGUUCCGACCUGCACGAAUGGCGUAAUGAUGGCCAGGCUGUCUCCACCCGAGACUCAGUGAAAUUGAACUCGCUGUGAAGAUGCAGUGUACCCGCGGCAAGACGGAAAGACCCCGUGAACCUUUACUAUAGCUUGACACUGAACAUUGAGCCUUGAUGUGUAGGAUAGGUGGGAGGCUUUGAAGUGUGGACGCCAGUCUGCAUGGAGCCGACCUUGAAAUACCACCCUUUAAUGUUUGAUGUUCUAACGUGGGCCCCUUACCGGGGUUGCGGACAGUGUCUGGUGGGUAGUUUGACUGGGGCGGUCUCCUCCUAAAGAGUAACGGAGGAGCACGAAGGUUGGCUAAUCCUGGUCGGACAUCAGGAGGUUAGUGCAAUGGCAUAAGCCAGCUUGACUGCGAGCGUGACGGCGCGAGCAGGUGCGAAAGCAGGUCAUAGUGAUCCGGUGGUUCUGAAUGGAAGGGCCAUCGCUCAACGGAUAAAAGGUACUCCGGGGAUAACAGGCUGAUACCGCCCAAGAGUUCAUAUCGACGGCGGUGUUUGGCACCUCGAUGUCGGCUCAUCACAUCCUGGGGCUGAAGUAGGUCCCAAGGGUAUGGCUGUUCGCCAUUUAAAGUGGUACGCGAGCUGGGUUUAGAACGUCGUGAGACAGUUCGGUCCCUAUCUGCCGUGGGCGCUGGAGAACUGAGGGGGGCUGCUCCUAGUACGAGAGGACCGGAGUGGACGCAUCACUGGUGUUCGGGUUGUCAUGCCAAUGGCACUGCCCGGUAGCUAAAUGCGGAAGAGAUAAGUGCUGAAAGCAUCUAAGCACGAAACUUGCCCCGAGAUGAGUUCUCCCUGACUCCUUGAGAGUCCUGAAGGAACGUUGAAGACGACGACGUUGAUAGGCCGGGUGUGUAAGC